Molecule: long non-coding RNA, 1404 nt
Filed under: Sparus aurata (gilthead seabream)
Lineage: Eukaryota; Metazoa; Chordata; Actinopteri; Spariformes; Sparidae
Description: lncRNA (ENSSAUG00010012458.1)
Source: RNAcentral
UGUUCAUUUGUUGUUAAGUUUCCUCUCUGAGUCUCGUACUCAUUGGCUGUGUUUCUGAAGGUGAUUGGUGAUGUGGAUGUGGUGGGCGAUGCAGCCAGGACGGUGACCCUCAAGGGUCAGGGCUCCGCAAAUCAGAGAGAGGACAAGGGAGGUGCAAGUGCUGCACAUCUGCUACGGAAACGGAAGAAACUAUUUGGACGGUCCCACCGUGUUGAGCCAGUAGGAGGAAGCGGGUGUGGCUCCAGCUUUGCACUGCAAGACCUCAGCCAAUGAUGUCAAAGCAAAGGAAGAGAUCGUUGGACCUUAAACUAAUGUUAAUUAUUUGAUCAAUCGUCUGGUUCACUUAAAGCUGCAAUACGUAAGAACCGGCCAACUGCCGAAUCCAUACUCAAAACAAACUGCGGGCAGCAUAUCACCAGAGUAACAACUAACUGGCCCUAACUGUAGCUAGCUAGUUAGCUUGUUUAACCGUGCAUGUAGUGGUCCUUGCUGUGUUGGUGUUUAGACUGGUAGCACAGGAAUGUUGUAACUUGAACAGGCUGCUGCUAGCUGGUUAGCAUGCUAACUUCAGUAGAUAUCGCUGCAACACAAAAGAUAGACGACUUAAUGUCCAUACUGUUAUUUCUCCACAUUCUGUUGAUAAUUUGAGGCAAUCUUUGAACGUUAAAUGUCUUAAACUUAACUUAAAUGUCUACACAGUGGGCCAGCUGGUACAUUUCGACAAUAAUUCAAAAUUCAAAACAGAAUAACACACUCUCAAAUGUAAAUACCAAAUUUUAACAGCUUUUUCUCAGGAGUACAAAAUGUGUGUGUGCUGUGUAGUAUUUUAGUUGGGUUCUAAAUGUUUAGAUGUCAGAAAAAAUGCUUUCCCUCCAAACAUGUGCAGUAUUAAGGUCAACAUGAAAAUACUCUAAUAUGUGCCUGACAUUGCAGUCAUGAAACAAAAUUACUAUCAUAAAAGCCUAGAAGCCACAUUCACAAUCACAUUUAGUUCACUGUAAAGUCCAUUCUCACGUAUGUGCACUGGAGGUUUUGAAGUUUCUAGGGUUUCCAGGGUUGGCUUCCAAAGUAGUUGUGAUGUCACAAAUCAUGCUCACCUCUUGAAGUGUUUGGGGACAAAACUUUAUUGACUGAUGUCUGAUUUAUGGAGACCUAAACAAACUAAACACACUCUCUUUUUUCAUGAUUGAAAAAACAAACUGACCUUAAAGGGCAUCAUAGUUUCAUUCUGUUUUACUUUGUUUAUAUGUGGCUGACCCUGCCAUAUUUCUCACUUCAAACAGUGUUCUGGGGACCUUAUUUUCCUCUGAGAACAGCUUGUUAUAGAAAAAACAAUAUUUCUGAGUUUGUAUUAUUACAUCAUUGAUAUGUAAAUAUCUCCAAUUUCUCCUAAACUACAUAGCC